AUUGAACGCUGGCGGCAUGCUUUACACAUGCAAGUCGAACGGUAACAGGCCGCAAGGUGCUGACGAGUGGCGAACGGGUGAGUAAUGCAUCGGAACGUGCCCAGUCGUGGGGGUUAACUACUCGAAAGAGUAGCUAAUACCGCAUACGAUCUAUGGAUGAAAGCGGGGGACCGUAAGGCCUCGCGCGAUUGGAGCGGCCGAUGUCAGAUUAGGUAGUUGGUGGGGUAAAGGCCCACCAAGCCAACGAUCUGUAGCUGGUCUGAGAGGACGACCAGCCACACUGGGACUGAGACACGGCCCAGACUCCUACGGGAGGCAGCAGUGGGGAAUUUUGGACAAUGGGCGCAAGCCUGAUCCAGCAAUGCCGCGUGCAGGAAGAAGGCCUUCGGGUUGUAAACUGCUUUUGUACGGAACGAAACGGCUCUGGUUAAUACCCGGGGCUAAUGACGGUACCGUAAGAAUAAGCACCGGCUAACUACGUG
RNAcentral lists this ribosomal RNA (482 nucleotides) under uncultured bacterium. Its description in RNAcentral is "partial 16S ribosomal RNA". It matches the Rfam family "Bacterial small subunit ribosomal RNA", at positions 30 to 507 of the family's 1533-position model. The record is from RNAcentral.